AGUGGUUCUCGGUAACACAUCCUGGAAUUGGGUUCCCUCCUCUCUGGUUCCAUGGUGCGUCACCCAAGAACUGCC
Molecule: non-coding RNA, 75 nt
Organism: Myotis davidii
Lineage: Eukaryota; Metazoa; Chordata; Mammalia; Chiroptera; Vespertilionidae
Source: Rfam